UACCCCCAGGGGAAGUUGAAUCCCCGUUGCCUCC
RNAcentral lists this transfer RNA (34 nucleotides) under Turnera luetzelburgii var. dubia. Its description in RNAcentral is "partial tRNA-Glu". The record is from RNAcentral. Lineage: Eukaryota; Viridiplantae; Streptophyta; Magnoliopsida; Malpighiales; Passifloraceae.